AUAAUGAGACUUCCGCCCAAAAGGCGGCUCGGUGAGAACCACGGAGGGGUAAAACGGCCCAUG
This 63-nucleotide non-coding RNA is filed under the name bovine gut metagenome. RNAcentral's name for it is "pemK RNA". It matches the Rfam family "pemK RNA". The record is from RNAcentral.